This is a long non-coding RNA of Oreochromis niloticus (Nile tilapia), 812 nucleotides long. RefSeq lists it as uncharacterized. The record is from RefSeq and is a predicted model, not a curated record. The transcript is spliced from 5 exons. NCBI's taxonomy places the organism in Eukaryota, Metazoa, Chordata, Actinopteri, Cichliformes, Cichlidae.
ACAUAAAAACGUUUUCACGCGAGAUUUCCGGUCUUCUUCUCCAGGCAGUAGAUAAGCGCGAGGAGCUUUUUUGACUCUCGCCAUGCAGUUCAUUUUUGUUAAAUUAUAUUUAUGUAUAAAUGUUGAGGUUGCUGCUGGUGACCCACCGUGAGCAGGUCUGGAUGAUGCAGAGGGACUCAUCUUUCUGCCUGCAACAGGGCGAAGUUUCAUUUCCUGAUUAAAGAUUCGUGGCUCAUCUGUUCUCCUUCCCACUGAGUGCCCAAGGAAGGAACCACAGUGAAAAGGUGCUGUAGUAGUAAGAGAAAGGAUGGAGAAGAUUUUUGGGCCUUGAAGACAGCAGGUCCUGAGCAGAUUGAGUUUGUGUGGAAGGACAGAAUACCAACCUCAAGUCUGAUGCCAGAGGAGAAUAAAUUCAGUAUUUGUCUUUAUGAAAGAUGAAAACCACGUUGGAUCAGAAAUGUGUUUUUAAUAAAACUACAAUGACGUAUAAAAUUCAAGUAUAAAAAGUAACAUGAGUCCAUAUGUGCUGGGAAGAACCCCCAGCAUGUGUUGGUCAAUCUGUGCUGAAAGAUGAUCUGUAAGAUUUCUUUUUCAGAUUUUCUAGAAAGUACUGCUCCUCUUGGAGAUAUUCACGGUCCUGUUGGGGGCAGAAAAACAAAAUCCAGUCAGUCAAAUCUGAACACUUGAAUUCUUGACAAAUUAUUUCAAGCAUUGCUGGCUAAAUAGUGAUUGUAUUAAAAAGCCGUGUGCACUGUGAUGCCUCAUGUUGACUGAGUUUCCAGAGCGCAAUAAAAGCCUGUACUGGAUCAUAA